GGUCAGCGACCCCACCGCCUGUCCGGUCCCCGGGCAUGGCACCAAUCCCAUCGCGGCCGGCUCGCCGGACGU
RNAcentral lists this small RNA (72 nucleotides) under Pseudomonas sp. URMO17WK12:I11. Its description in RNAcentral is "P10". It matches the Rfam family "Pseudomonas sRNA P10". The record is from RNAcentral. Lineage: Bacteria; Pseudomonadati; Pseudomonadota; Gammaproteobacteria; Pseudomonadales; Pseudomonadaceae.